AUGCCCACUGAUUAUAGAAAGACGCGUUAUUCUGAGGAAUGCAACCUGCACCCAGUCUUUCCUCUAUCCUUUACUCCAUCUUUAAUCUCCUCCAUCUUUCCUGUCCCUCCUCCACUCCCUCUCCUCUUCUGUUCAAACUGGUGGCAGGUCCGCUGACUGCGAUUAUGAGAUAUGAGGGCAU
Molecule: small nucleolar RNA, 181 nt
Organism: Lates calcarifer (barramundi perch)
Lineage: Eukaryota; Metazoa; Chordata; Actinopteri; Centropomidae
Source: Ensembl